RNAcentral lists this ribosomal RNA (490 nucleotides) under uncultured bacterium. RNAcentral describes it as "partial 16S ribosomal RNA". It matches the Rfam family "Bacterial small subunit ribosomal RNA", at positions 30 to 507 of the family's 1533-position model. The record is from RNAcentral.
UGAACGCUGGCGGUAGGCCUAACACAUGCACAUCGAACGGCAGCACAGUAAGAGCUUGCUCUUACGGGUGGCGAGUGGCGGACGGGUGAGGAAUACAUCGGAAUCUACUUUUUCGUGGGGGAUAACGUAGGGAAACUUACGCUAAUACCGCAUACGACCUACGGGUGAAAGCAGGGGAUCUUCGGACCUUGCGCGAUUGAAUGAGCCGAUGUCGGAUUAGCUAGUUGGCGGGGUAAAGGCCCACCAAGGCGACGAUCCGUAGCUGGUCUGAGAGGAUGAUCAGCCACACUGGAACUGAGACACGGUCCAGACUCCUACGGGAGGCAGCAGUGGGGAAUAUUGGACAAUGGGCGCAAGCCUGAUCCAGCCAUACCGCGUGGGUGAAGAAGGCCUUCGGGUUGUAAAGCCCUUUUGUUGGGAAAGAAAAGCAGCAGGUUAAUACCCCGCUGUUCUGACGGUACCCAAAGAAUAAGCACCGGCUAACUUCGUG